CCCCCCGCCCGCCCCGGCACCCCUGCCCCGGGGCCGGACAGCGCUGGUGGCUCGCUCUCGGGCCACCCCCGGGCACGGGUGCGCGCGAGCACUGGGACGCGCGCGCGCGCGCGCACGCACCCUGGGCUGAACGCCCGGGCGUGCGAGCCGGGGCUCCGCGCACGCACCGAAUCUUGGACGCGAACGGGGCACCCGGCCUCUCCCUGCCUGGUGCACGAACCUACUGACACGCGUUGCACUUCAGAGUCGUGCAAACCCCUGCCCCAGCGCGGGCCAAUAGAAAAGGGUGUGAGUGAGCCUUCCUGCGUCUAGGGGGAGCAGGGGCGACGGAUAGGCUAAGGGAGCAAGACUUUCCGUGGCGCACCAGGACUGCGCACCCCCUGCGCAGAGUCGGCGCGGGGCGCUGCGCGCAGGGCCAUCCAGGCUUGCCCCAGCAGGCUCCCCCUAGCGGCUGUGCGGGGAACAGCGCACAGGAGGUCAUUGCCCCGGCCUAGGCUAGGGGUGGUGGCUUGGACCAGGGCAGGAUCAGCAGAGGCCCUGGACAUAUUAUCCAUCACCAAGAGACAAGCAGCACGGUGACGUACACCUGUAAUCCCAGCCCUCAGGAGGCUGAGGCAGGAGCAUGACAGAGUUUGAGGCCAGCCUGGCCUACAUAGCAAGACCCUGUCUCUGAACAAGUUCAACAAGUGACCGGAGGCUGGAAAUGGUGUGCACAUCCAUCCAAGAGACUCCAAAGAACAAAGCCUAAAGCCAGGUGUGGCAGUGCACGCCUGUGAGCCAAGCACUUGGGAGGCUGAGGCAGGAGGAUCACUGUGAGUUCGAGGCCACCCUGAACUACAUAGCAAGACCGUCUCUGAAAAAUCAAAAAAUAAAUAGUAG
RNAcentral lists this long non-coding RNA (879 nucleotides) under Heterocephalus glaber (naked mole-rat). Its description in RNAcentral is "lncRNA (ENSHGLG00000031214.2)". Lineage: Eukaryota; Metazoa; Chordata; Mammalia; Rodentia; Bathyergidae. The record is from RNAcentral.